CUUCUCUGCUCUCCUCUCUUCUCGCUGCCAUAGCAGCAAUGAAAACAACAUCCAGGCGAGGCAAACAGCGGCUCCAGCGAGGCCAGCAGUCGUUGGCCGCCUCUGCUUCUCUCCUCUCUUUUCUCUGGCGAAAACAACAAACAACAACUCCAGUAGCUCCGACCGGCGAAGCAGCAGCUCGGUGAGAAAAUAGCAGCAACAACUGCUCCGUCCAGCAGCGACGAACGACAACGACAGCAGUUCCAACCAGCAACUAGGCGAGCUCCGAAGAAAGCGAACUCCGGCAAACAUUUGAAGUUUUUCUUUUGAGUUUUAAGACGAAUCUUUGACAGAUCCGUCUGAGUAAGUUUAUUUUAUUCAUUUUAACACUUUGUUCUUGAUUUUAAAAUAUGGUGAGUUUAUAACAUGUCAUCAUGUGCUUAUAUUUCUUGUUGAUUCUUAGAAAGCAUGUUUAGGUUGCAAUUCUCGGUCAAACUCUUGCUCAUCGUUUCUAUUAUGAUCUGUUAGGCUUCGAAUCGUGAAGUUUUAGCACACUUGCUGCAUUUAAGUCUACUCUAACCGACAAUUUGCACAUUCUCUGUGUUGAUAUAGUAAAGUCAUUAGUUUAUGAAUUCCUUUGACUAAUUUCUAUAUGGUAAAAAAUCAUUUUUUUUUAGUCUUAAUUGAUUGAGAAUCACAUUUGUUCUUCCUUAGAUAAUUAUUCUUGAUUUUCCUCGAUAUUUUACAUUGCUGAUUUAUCCCCUUAAUAUAUGUGUAAUUGUGACUUGUUAAUUGUUUCCUCAUAUCUGUUAGGAUCUCUUAAAGUUGUUAACUUAGCUAAUUGCCUGGUCAAAUUGCUCAUCUACUGUGAUUUAAACUUUCGUAUACUGCUAACCUUCAUGACUUUGUGUAAUUAGUUUGGUGUAAUUUGCUCGACCCCUUACCUAUGGUAAGUCUGAAAUUAUGGUAAAGCAUGUAUUAUUUCUUUCCUUGUGCUGAUUUUAUAUUUAUUAAUUUAUAGUGCUGCAAAUUGAUCCCCCUCCCCUUAAUUAUGGUUUGAACUGAUUCUUACUACUCUAUUUUUAGAAAUCCCUACCGGUUUGGUGAAUAAUUUGGUUGAUUUCAGUUUUGCCCUAUAUUUGGUAAAAAAAAAAUUAAUAAAUUUGAUUUGGCUCUCCUUUGAAAUAAGGAAAAUAAUAUUAAUUGAUUUCCUUUAUUCCUUUUCCUUAUUUGCCCGUAUUUCAGUGACUAUAGAUAGGACUCCUCCCCUCAUUAUUUGAUCAUCUUGACUUCGCUCAUACUUGAAUACUAAAAAACAAAUAUUGCUCUCUAAUCUUAAAAGAAUUAAGAUUCCGAUAAACAUUCUAACUGCGGCUUUACUCGGUUUUUUGCUGUGUACGGGUCUAUUUGAAUUAAGUUCGUCUGCAUUGCUGAUAACUCUACUCUGGAUAAUCGGUUAGCUCUCCUUCAUUAGUUUAAAUUUCGUCUUGCAUCAUCUAUCAUGAUUAUCGUAUGUUUGUUGUAUGUUCGAAAACGAACAGAAGGAAGCAUCCAGGUCAGUUUCUUAUCCCUUUUGCUCUAUGUGCGAUUUUAUGCUACCCUUGAUUAGCCAGAAUGCGUGUAUGUCUGUUUUUCACCUAUAUGUUGAAAUAAGUAAUAUUAUGCGAGUAUUAUUGUCUUGGUGUAUUGUAUAUACUCGUAUCUUCUUCAGCAGGUUUGGACAUUUUGUUCAAGUUGAAGAGUCGCCUGUUAAGAGAUUUUCAUGGAGUUUUUAUUUUUGUUUUAAGUUAAUUUUGUUGUUGUUGGGUUUAUUCCUAUUCGGUUCUGUAAUAAUCUUGUAAUAACUCUCUAACUCUCUAGUACAUAUAUAUGAAAUAUUUGGGGGAUCGCCUAAGAGGGGAGUGGGAUUUAUGUGCUAAUUGCUUUACUUAUAUAUGUUGAGUCUAUUUGUGUUGUGAUAAUAACUAGCCCAUAAACUGUUUUAACAUGUUAGAUUAAAACAUAUUUUAUCACAUUCUAAAUAACUAAUGGAAUAAAUGUGCUACUUGCCUUAUCAACGCCUCAGAUUAUUAUGCAAGCAUGUUAGAAAAGAUUAAAUAAAUGAAUAAAUUGCAGAAUUAAUCUCAUUCAUUAACUUUGUUAAAAUCACCUACUUUCGAAUUAAAUUUGUUAAUAUUUCAUGUUAUUUGUAUCAUAUAUCAUCUCACCUAGUUUAACAAAUCUUGCAUGUCAGCAUGUAAUUGAGCAUGUCUAUAUUUAGAAUUAUACCUAUAGGAACUACUUCAACAUGUUAAAUAAGUAGUUGAUUUUAAUAAUACACUAGUUUCAGCAUGAUUGAUGAAUUUAAAAGGAGUAAAAUCUGAAUCUUUUAAGUACUGAUCUGCCUUAAUUGUUAUCUGUUAAUGCGAGCUUUAUUAAUAAUCUCCAACAUGUUCACACUUAGUUAUCAUGCCUAUAGGUUUUUCUGAAUAUUACUAUGAUUUUCAGCAUGUUCAUAUUUAGAAACUAUGCCUAUAGGAGCCAUGCAUACAACUUUUCAAUCGCCUAGAAAUCAUGUUCAUAGGCGUAAUCAAAUAAUUUCCAGCAUGUUAAAUAAUUGAAAUAAAACUAUGCACAUUUCCUGUCCACUGGUACAUAAUUUCUGCAAUGCAAUUAAUCUCUACAACGUAAAAUAAAGUAAAAAUGAUUUUCGGUAUGUUCAAAACUGAUUUAAAUCUGCUAUACACUUUGUUGUUCACCGAGAUAAGUCUGCUACGCAUAGCUUCUGCCACUUAAAAUAAUUUAGAUAGCCCUCUAAAAUGUUAAUAACAAAACAAAACUAACUUAUUUGCAUAUUUCCUGCACUAUGAGUGGUUAAUAUCUUCCCGCAUUUUAAGAGUUGAACCAGCAUAACAAUAUUUCCUGAACUAAAAUCUAAACUAUUGUUAACGAAAAUCUGCUUUUGUCUUGUUAUGCCACUUAAAAUUAAGUUUCUGCAUCUGCUACUUUCUGCCCCGAUUAAAUAUUGUUCGAAUUAAUUUCUGCACUGUUUUGCCACUUAAGAUAAGCUACUAAAUCAAUUUCUGCAUAUUAAUUAACAACUUUCUGCCACUCGAUCAUCUAAGACUUUAAAAUCAGCUCUAUGCGAGAUUGUUUAGUUGAAUUACUUUAGCCACUGUUUUCCUCAUAAUAUCCCUGCCUGCUCAAUUUACUGUCAAUACUUGCUCUUUGAUCAUAUGUCCACACACUUAGUAAUGAGACCUCUCACUAAUUACGUGUGUUUGCUAGCAUGCUAAUAAUAAAAUCUAGAGGCCAACAUGAGACUUUACAUGCUAAAUGAUCGUCCAACUUGUUUUGCUUGGUGUCUAGGAGGCCUAUUAGGAACAUUUAUUUUAUUUUUUUAGUCUAAAACCUCCUUAUUAAUAGUCCAAUGCCUCUUGAACAUUAAGUCAGGACGAUAAGCACCUUUUAGGACGAAAAGCAUGCGGUGGUGAGGUAGGGGUAGUUUAGGCCCUAUGGAGAUGAUGACAUUGCCUCGAGCCGUAAACGACAAACAUUUGUUUUGUCUGUCCCAAAAUAAAAGGCCGAGUGCUGAUUGGUAAAGUUGUCAGAGUCUCCCUUUCCUUCUCCCUUUUAUAUGUUUAUAAUAAUUAUAAUUAUUUGGGGUAGUUUAACAAAAAAUAAAAUUUGAUUAUUCUAUUUGAUUGUGCAAUUUAUGUCUUUUCGCUUAUCUUCAAUCCACCCAAAGCCCAAAACAGUUGUUAGGUCGUGCACCAAAACCCGUUUUGCAAAAAAAUGGGGCGCGGCAGGGGGUCUUGUCCCAACAUCCCUCUUUGUUUUAGAGGCUUCAAAAACAGUUAGUAGUUCAGUUGUCUUUACAUUUCAUUUCAUAUGUUAAGACUUGAGUUGCCAUUAUGGCCAAGUUGAAUGUUGACCUUUAAAACAUUCUAAGUUAUUUUACCAAGCUAUUUGAGUAAGUUCAUUUGAUCAUUGUAAUAAUGUUUAGAGUUUUCCGCUGAGUUAGUAAGCCAGGCCAAGGGUUCGCUUGAAGCUAGCAAUGGUCUUCGAGUGCUAGCCACGUCCAGGGUGUAGGCUCGGGGCGUGACACUGAGCCUGUCCAUUUACCAAUACUGAGUACCAAUUAUUUGCAAUAAUUCUCCAAAUUAAUCAACAACCACCACUGAAAAACCCAUCUUUCUUAAUACUUUCAUUAAAAAAACCAUGAUAUUCUAUCAUAAGCUUUUGUCAUCUCAAGCUUAAUGAUAAGAUUUGAUGGUUUUCCCCUUUUUGUGAUGUCAGAAGUAAAUUUCCUGAGUAAGCAAAACAUUUUCAAUAAUGUUUCUUUCCUUCACAAAACCUGACUGAUUAGAGGAGAUCAAUCUAGGUAGCACCAGUCCUAGCAUGUCAUGAAUAACCCUUGAGAUAACUUUGUUAACAAAGUUACUCAAACUUAUAGGUCGAAGAUCUAAAAAUGAGUGUAUAUCAUUCUUCCUAGGCAACAACACUAGAUUGGUAUGGGUGAUGAAUUUUGGGAGAGUAUUGCCUACAAAAAAGCUAUCCACCAUCCUAUAUAAAUCUGAUCCAAUAAUUUCCCAACACUUCUGAUAGAAAAGACCUGUGAAGACAUCAGAACCACUAGCACUGUCACCAUUAAGAUUAAAAACAGCUUUUUUAACCUCAUCCAUGGAUGGCAUAAUUCUAAUUAAAGCAUUAUUUUCUUCAGAAAUAACAUGUGGAAUGUGCCUGAGAAGAGAAAAAUAUUCGGCAUCCCUUUCCUGAGAGAACUGUUUCUAUAGAAUCUUAUAGCUUCAUCUUUUAUCAUCUACUUGUCCUCCGAAAGAACCCCUUGCUCAUUAUGAAUUUUGACAAAUGUAAUCUCUUCCUUCUUCCUUUCACUAGACUAUGAAAAAAUCUCGUAUUUCUUUCUCCCCUUUCAAACCAAGUAAAACCUGUUUUUUGCUUCCAAUAUUCUUCUUCAAAAAGUAAAUACUUUUUGAAUUCGGCUUGUGCUUUUUGCACCGCUGCUUUAUUUAAACUACUAGGAUCCUCCUCGAAUAACUUCUUUUGAUCUUGACAAUGUCCUCUCUAAUUAUUAAUUGCUUAAAAAUAUCAUCAUACACCUCUUUACUCCAUGAAGUAAGUUAAGAUUUCAGCUUCUUUAACUUCUCUUUGAAGCUAAAAAAUAGAUUAUCAAAAUCAUUAGCAGCACACCAGUUUUGUCUCACAACUUGUUUGAAAGACUCAUGUUCUACCCAAAAGUUAAGAAAUUUAAAAGGUUUACAAAUAUUCACCACAUGUUCUUCACAGUUUAGUAACAUAGGGGCAUGGUCUGAUCCAAUCCUAGAAAGAUGUUCAACCUCGGUAUGAUUAAACCAAUUUUGAAAUUCAUGGUUAAUUAACACUCUAUCCAGCCUUUCAAAAAUACAGUCUUCUGCAGCUCUACCAUUCCACCAUGUGAAAGGACUACCUCUAAAAGGCACUUUUGUGAGUCACAAUCUCCAAUACAAUUAGAAAAAUCAUCUACAUCUGCAGGUUGUACAACAAGACCUCCUAACUUCUCCUCGGCAUUUAGCACCACAUUGAAAUCCCCACCAAUAAUCCAUGGAAGACUCAUGGAAUUAUGCAACUGAUAAAUGUCUUCCCACAAAGCCCUUCUUUGCACACCAUCACAUUUUGCAUAGACAAGUGUUACGAAAAAAUCCUUAUUCAAAAUAGUAUCUUGAACCUUGAUAGUGAUAUGCUGCAUCCAAAAUAAAAUCAACUUGAAAACCUUCUUUGACAAAAAUCCAGAUUUUGCCAUUAAAAUUGGAUUUUGUAAAAUGCAUGCUUAAUCUCCGCCUAUAUUUGUUGAUUACACUAGCAUUUUUAAAAGGUUCCAUUAAAGCAAUAAAAUUGAAUUUAUGUGCUUUAUUAAGCAUUUGAACCCUUUGAAUAGCUUUUUGUGUCUUUACCGAUUUUAUAUUCCAAAAGAAGAAUUUCAUCAUUAAUCUUUGUUCUUCUGCAAGCCUCUUCUUGAACUUGUCCUAGUAGGCAAACUCCCCAUAGAAAUGCUACUAUUCUUCUCUUUUUUGCCAGAUUUGUUGCUUUUGAGAAAGACCUCCUCUCCAUUCUUAUUACUCUCAUCAAAUGACCCUUCUUUAGAAUUGGAAGAACCAUUCUGUUGUUGUACUUGUUGACCUUGAAUCAAAGGUGGUGCAUCGUCAUCUUCGAAAUUUUAAUCAACUGCAUCUGUACUGCUAGAUAGUUGUUGUAACUGAUAUUUUUACAUCUUAUGUGGUGCCUCACUUAUAGAAUGUGAAUCAACUUCCUCUGUGCUGCUAGAACAACUAUGUUGUUGAGAUUGUUUUGGAUGUGAUUGUGGUUGAGGAAUUCUUUCAACUAAUGAGUGUGAAACAAUGUCCAUUAGAACUUUCAAAGGAGAAAUUGUUGCAUUCUCUUGUGCAACAAUAAUUGGAUAUUCAACUACUGUCGGAUUACAUUUUUCAUUAUACUAUUCUUGACAUUGUUGUCCUGAUUGUUCUGUACUAUCUACCUUGUAGAUUGCAUUUUCAUUACUCGUCUCGAUGCUUUUAUCAUGGUGUUGCUGCUGGUUCUCCACAUUCUGCUUUGAGGUAACAUUAUCAAUUAUUAGCUCCUUAUUCUCCAAGCUUUGUUCAUUAUCUGCUUCCUGAGAUUUGUCCAUAUUUUUACUUGCUUCUUCCUGAUCUUCAACAGAAGUUUUGACAAUGUCAUUCGCUUGUACUAUCUCUUGCUCGGUACUUGCAUGAUCCUAGCUAAAAUCAUUUAUUGUUUCCACUGGUUUGCUACUAUCAGUUGGAAUUGCGCCAGACACUUCUAACAAAAUACAUGCAUAUAGAUAGACAGAUAAAAUAUGAAACAACCAAUUAGGUAUUAUCAUACUAUAUUGUAAUAAGUAAUUUUAAAAAUAAAACGAUGUGUUCAUAUAUUAUUUAGAAGUAUGUUUGAGUAUACAAAAAUAAAUAUUACAUACAAAAUAUGCUAUGUUUAAAGCAGUGAACCAAACUUGCAAAGGAAAAUCUUAGUAACUUAGUUUGGUUGGUUAUCUGAACUUCCACCUUAGCUAGUUGGAGAGGAUUCGAGUCCAGACAUUGUAAUCCUCUCCCCCAUUUCCCCUUCCCCACCCUCAUUUUUUUAGAAAAAGAAAAAAUAAACUUGCUAAAGAUAGUUGAGAGGAAAUCACAAAAUCUUGAACCAGAUGAUUUUGAUUAUUAAUGUAAAGUCAUACUUUCAAGUCACACAAACCAUAGAAGUUGAAGGAUCAAACACAUGCCUUUACAAAUAUACGAUAACCAUGUCAUUUAGAUAAAAAUAAUAAAAAAUUUGUGCUUCAUAAUUUAUAAUAUAAAGAUCAUAAGGACUUCAAAAAUCUAAAGAAAUGAGUAUCAUUAUUAAUAUUAGAGUAGAAUAAAACCACUUAAAUCAAAUAGAUAAAGACUAACAAAGCUUACAUUGCAUAAAUUUCUUGUUUUAGUAAGAUAUUCUCUAUCGCAAAAGGUAACCUUAAAGUUGAUUUAAUUAACUGAUGGACAAACAACCUCGUCCAUUCUGAUUGGUUCAGUACGCUGGCGCCUCACCAACCUCUGACGAGACAGCUUUCUAGCUGUAUGGCAAAUUGCCCUAGACGAGAACACUCUGCAGAGGACCGGGUCCCUACAUUUGUGAAGAUCAUCAAAACAUCUGGAACAGUAAGACUUAUCAUUUGAACUGCUCCUUGUUUGCUGUUUCAACAUGUAUCAUCUGGUGAUAAUAUCUCGUUAUUUUUAAUCAUCUCCUUCCAAAAUUUCUUGAAAUUGAUAAUGAGCCUUGAUGAUAACAAUAUCUCUUCAUGUUUCAUUUGUACUUUUUCAUCUGCUAAUCACACUUAACAGUAAAUAUCCCAGUACUAAACUAUUGUAUGCAUAUAACAAAACCACAUAAUAUGCAUAAAUUCAAGUAUAAUGAUAACAAUAUAUCAGGUUAUUUUUUAAAAACAGUGAAAUUCAACUGAUUUAGGGGGUUAGAAAAGAACAUUGUAAUUAGAUUUACCUAUCUUUCAAUCGCUAGAUAAAAAGAAUCCACCUCAAUCACAACUAUGUGAUAUAGGAUGUGCAUUAAUUAAUGAAUAAUGGAGGAAUAUUAAUUUAUUUAUCUUAUGUGGUUAUCUUCAUGCAUUAGGGGGAAAUGGAAGAGUUAAUAAAUAUAAAUGUGAUUGUCCUUUUGUAUUCAUACCAUGAAUGUGCAGUAACUUUUAAGAAUCACUUGUAUAGUAAAUAUUGUCCUUUUGUAGUCAUACCAUGAAUGUGCAGUAGCUUUUAUGAAUCACUUGUAUAGUAAAUUUACAUUUGUGUACAAUAAUGUUAAGAAAUUAUUGGCGGACUUAAGGCAAAGUAUAUAUUAUAAUUAAUGUGUGUGUAUAUAUAUAUUGUCCAUAAAUAUAUAAUAAUAGUAUUUAAAGAAAAUGAUCGUAUUUAUUAUAAUUAUUAAUGUGUAUUCACAUUUUUGUCCAUACUAUUAUGACUUUAUAGGGACAUUUUCGUAAUCAACUUUUAACUUGGAAGCUUUCCACUUAUAAUAUAAUAUACGAUAUAUGAUAUAUAAUGAUUUACUGAGUUACCCUAAGAGAUUAUUGGAGAGGCUAGCAAAUGAGAUAUGUAGAUAUGGUAACUAUACACUUUCUAUUUUGAUGAUAAUUGGUUAGAGUUCGAUGUGAGCUUAGAGAUAAGUGAUUAUGAGUGUGGUUGGAUCAGGCACCAUCUCGGUGCGGUACAUGGACACCUAGGGUUCCAUGCAGGUCGUGACUAGAUGGAAAAGAUUAAGACCCUUUAGCAUGUGUAUACAACUGAGACAAACUUGUGAUUUUGUUGAGUGAGUGCUAGAGAAACUCGCUAGACGUAGGAUUUAUACAGUUGUGAUAACUCAAGCAGUUUUGAUGAAAGACAUUAUGAACCUGGUUCUCGUCAAUGAACAUAGAACUUACACUCAAAAAGACGGGACACAGACUUUACUUACGCCGACAUCAAAAAGAAGAGGUUGUUAUUAAAAGAAAAUCAAGUUGCAAAAGGAAAUAAUAAAAGAAGAAGUUUUGUACAAAGAAGGAAGAAGGAUUCAAAUUUAAGGAAAUCUCUAACUCUUUUCCUGGUACAACUAUAACUUCUCUUUUUAUACAAAUUAGACUUGAAGCAAAUUCAGACUCUAUAAAAGGACAGCGGAGAACAAAGAAGAAGUCGUCUUUGGCAAUUGAGAAAAGACAGAAAAAGUGAGAGAGAGAAUCAUAACGAAGGCCAAAGAGUUCGUGAAGUAGAGAACAAAAGAAUUCUAGAGUUAGGAUUUCUUUCAAAAUAGUUGAGUCGCAUUGAUUCAUAGUUGAAUCAAUGUUUGUGAGAGUUUUGAGAGAGUUUGUGAGAAUUGUAAACAAGAAGUGGGUUUGACUUUUUGGGGUUAGAAUUAAGAGAGAGUCUUUGAGAGUUUUGUUGUAACAAGAAGCGAGUUUGACUUCUUGGAGAGUUCAGGGUUGUUUGAUUAGAGUUAAUCGGAAAGGAUAGAAGUUUAGAGUUAGAUUCAUUGAUUAACUGAGUUGUAAAUCUUGAAUUAAUAUAAAACUUCGAUGUGGUUUUUCUCUUCCUAGAGUUAGGAAGGUUUCCACGAUACAUUGGUGUUAUUGUUCUUUAAACAUAAAGUAUCGUGUGUAAUAUUCAAGAACCUGGUUCUUGAAUACUGGGUAAGGUUUAUUCAAUUGGUAUCAGAGCAGGUCUUUUCGUUAAAAGACUCACAUCUUGAAAAGAAUCAAUGGCAGCACCAUCUACCCCGCAAGAAGGAGCUUCUCAAACUCGACCACCACUAUUCAAUGGAAAGUACUAUGGAGGGUGGAAAAAUUGUAUGAUGGAUUAAUUGAUGGGCAAAAAUCUCAAUCUUUAGAGCGUAGUCCUGGAUGGACCUACCAUACCCAUGAAGAAAGGAGACGAUGGAAUCACCCUAGUACCAAUGGAAAGGAAAGAAUGGGAUGUUGCAAACAAACUCGCCAUUCAAAAUAACGCCAAAGCUAAAAAAAAUCCUAAUAUGCGGUAUAGGACCAGAUGAGUACAAUAGAAUUUCAUCAUGCGAGGAUGCAAAGUUGAUUUUGGGAAACUAUAUAGACUACACACGAAGGAACAACUCAGGUUAAGAAAUCUAAAAUCGACAAUAUGAACUGUUCAGAAUGAUGGAAGGAGAAACAAUUCAAGAUAUGCAUACCAAGUUCACUGCAAUCAUUAAUGAGAUUUACUCGUUAGGAGAAGUAAUUCCAAAUGGAAAAGCUGUUAGAAAACUCUUAAGUGUUCUACCAUCAUCGUGGGAAAUUAAAGUGGAAGUCGUCACUGAAGUACGUGAUCUAGAUAAACUGUCCAUGGAUGAGCUUAUUGGAGAUUUCAUGACAUAUGAACUAAAGAAGAAUCAAGAAAAAAAAUUGGCAGUAAAAGAAUGGAGAAAAAGUUGGUUCUGAAAGCCACAACACCUCAAGAUUUUGAGGAUAAGAAUAUUGCACUUAUGACAAAGAGGUUCUCCAAAAUGUUAAAAAGAGGACAAAUAUUUCAAAGAAGAAGUCCUCAAAAGGCAGCUGAAAAUUUGAGAGAGCAACUAUGCCAUAAAUGUGGAAGUCCAGAUCAUUUAAUUAAAUUAUGUCCACUCUGGUCCUUAGAACAUAAAAAGAAUAACUCGGACAAAACAAAAGGAUGUUAAGGGUGACAAAUAUUCCUACCAACAGGAGGAUGACUAACCAAGAGGUUGAUCUCUCAAUGAAUAAAGCAUUUGCUACACUGGGAGGCAUGUCAGAAGAUGAGUCUGAAGAUGAGGAAAUUGAAAAUCAAUCCCUACUUGCAAUCGAGCAAACUGACAAAUAUGACUUCCUUGCACUAGUAGCCAUAGUUGAACCAGAGGAAAAGGAAAAUAGUUGUCAGAGACAAUUCAGGCAUUGAUGGCUGGGUCAGACUCUAAAGAAAAAGAAGAGGACAAGCAGGAUCAGGUUAGUCAGCAUCACAUUAAAGAAAAUCUUGACUCUUACUCAAAAAGAAAACUAGAAUCUCUGUUACAUACUCUCAUAAAUGCAUACCAAUCAACCUGUUCCGAAAGAGAUCUGUUAAUGGAUGACUAUGCAUCAUUAAGAGAUGAAAAUGAGAUCUUAGAACAACAAAACCGUCUUUUUCACAAGAAGCUAAAAGAGUUGAACAAAGAAUUUCAAUCCAUAACCGUAAAAAAUGAACUUCUCCGGAAGAAACUUCACAUGACCAAAAUGGAAGCAGAGCACAGCAUGAGAUGGACCAGAUCCUCCAUACUACUCGAUAGCAUCCAAAAGGGUCAAUCUUCCACAAGACAUAGAAUAGGUUUUUCUGAAACAGAGAGGAUUUGAAAAAAAUCAAGUUGGUGACAGAAAUGGGCAGUCGGCGAAUCGCCGAUCGGUUCACGAUACCAAACUGGAUCGCCCAAAGUUACAGGACUUGGGAUGCUAAGAACCAAUGCAAAAUGGCGAUGGAAGAGAGCAAACGGUGGAUCUCUGAACCACUCGGCGAGGCACGACUUAUUCCGCCGAGUGGACUUUUAGGCCAAAACGCAGGCAACUAUAAAUUGGAUUUUAAAUGAAGUUCUCAGGAUUUUUUAGUUUUUGGAUCCCCAAGUUUUAGAAUUAGAGUUUUCUCUUAGUUUUUCAAUUGUUAUUAUAGACUUUGAGGAUUUAUAAGCUUAAUUUUGAGGAUUUGAAAGUGGGCCUUUGAAUUUAACCCUUGGAAAACAUUGUAAAGGCUUGGAGACUCUUACUCAGCUGAUAGCUAAUCGAGUUGGUAAUUGUUUUUACCUUUUUAUGAUGUUUAGCUAAAACCUCAAUUCUUUGGGUGUGAUCAUGUGAUUAUGGGAUGAAUAAGCUUAUGGGUAUUGUUAAUUACUAAUUUAAAUGCUUAGUUGAAGUGGGUUUAAUUGAUAGUUGUGUUUUAAACUAAGAAUUGUAGUUGCAAAUGCAAUUCGAACUUAGAAUUCUAUGCUUGCUUGAAAAAGAGGUUUUAGAAUCAAGGUUUUCAAUUGAUGAUUGUAGUUAUUGGGUUGAUAUAGGUUUAGCUCGAAAGAGUAAAUUCUAAAUCUGAUUCUACCCAUCUAGCUCGAGAGAGUGGAUGAAUUAAGGUGUGGGUUGUUCUUAUUUGCUAAGCUUGUUGAUGUUCGAAAGAAAUCACCUUAUUCCUAAUAGUUGUUCGAGAGAAAGCUAUUGCAUCUAUAGUUUAGCCUAUCCGCUGAUAUUUAGCUAUUUAUUAGUAAUUUCAAUUACCCAUACGUGAAAAUUGCUUAUAAUCGAUCACAUCGCAAAAAUCCUUCUCUAAAUUGUUAUUUCCUUAGUGCUUGAUUGCGUUGUAGCUGUUGGUUUUGGAGAGUUUUAAUAUUAUAAAAUUAUAGUUAAGAUGCACAUUCCAUUUCCAGAACGUUAGUCUCUUUAUUAUUAUCCUUGGAAUCAUUGAAUUGUGAGGCUUAAUUACAUUGAUUCUGCCGUUUCUGACAUUUUCAUUUGGUGCACAUUAUUGUGCCAUUGUACAACUCUUCAUUCUGCCCGUUAGUGGCAUUGGAUGCACUCACAUUACUUAACUCAUUAUCCUCAAUUAUACCUUGUAACAUAUGUAACUCCUAAGGCUAUUACACUAUUUACUACACCAUUUAUCUUCCUAUUCAUUGCUAGGAAGACUUCUUCUAGUAUAAAUAGGGGUGGUCAUCAUUUGAUCUGUUACACACAACACACAAGAAAAAUAUAGAGAGGAAAAAGUUAGUCAAAAAAGAGAGUUCUUAUUAGUUGAAGGGAGGUAUUCUUUUUGUGGAGCUUUGGAUUCAACUCUUGUCUAGAGUUAUUGAGUUAUACUUUGUGUUAAGGUUGUUGUAUCCUGGAGGGGACAAGUCAAGAAGGACUACUGCUGGACCGGUGAAAACAUUUGCUGCAGUGGGUUUGAAUCUCCUUAAAGAGAGCGAGAUAUCCGCGCCUCAGCCGGAAGAGAUUUUUAUUUCUUCAUUUCAUUUUCAAUUGUAAUGUUGUUAUUUUGUUAUCUUGUAAGUAUUUCACUAACAGUAGCUCAUAAUUGCAAAUCCAAACCCCCCAUAUGACAUUUGUUGUCACCCCUUUAGAUUUGUUUGUUUGUAUGUUUUCGAUAAUUUCUAUUCCUAUAACUGAUUAGACCACGUUUGCACUUCAUAAUUGAAUUUGAACAUGUACUGCUCCCUGUGGGUUUGACCCAACCUUUCAUUGGGUUUUAUACUAGUUAACGAUCGUUUACCCCUA
This 13234-nucleotide long non-coding RNA is filed under the name Solanum tuberosum (potato). RNAcentral describes it as "long non-coding RNA (STUB_LNC001763)". The record is from RNAcentral. Lineage: Eukaryota; Viridiplantae; Streptophyta; Magnoliopsida; Solanales; Solanaceae.